RNAcentral lists this long non-coding RNA (2563 nucleotides) under Anas platyrhynchos platyrhynchos (common mallard). Its description in RNAcentral is "lncRNA (ENSAPLG00000017677.1)". Lineage: Eukaryota; Metazoa; Chordata; Aves; Anseriformes; Anatidae. The record is from RNAcentral.
CUCCUCUGCAAGUUCAAACCUUCUCCCCAUCACGGGCAGCUGCCGCAGCAGGACCAAGAGGUGUUUUCCGCCGUAUGCCCAGAUCUGAGCUCACUUACAGCCACAUAGCUGGAGAGGGUAUUUGUGCAGCAGAAUAGCUGGUAGCUAUUGUGGUAUAAAUGGGCUCUGCAGUCUGCUCAGCCUUACAGGUAAGUACCUGCCUGCUUAACAAGCUGCUGUUUUGGAGCAAUUUGGGGGAUCAUCUUGCAUUGCAAUAGUCCAGGCUUAAAAGCUUUGAUGUCUCUGCGAUAGAAGCUUCUGUUCAAGACAGAUUUUUUUUUCUCUGUUAUUAUUACAAAGAUGCAUGAAGAAGUCCUACAAUGUUUAACUUAUUUUUUUUUGACCUGUGAGGGAGCUUUAUGAUAGCCUUGUUCAUGCCUGCCAAGAGGACCAGUGCAGUGGAUCGGGAGCUUCCUCUACCAUUUGCUGAAGAGCCCUAGGACCAGGCUGUAAGGCUUUGGACAUAAUAAACUCUAUGACCUCUUCGUGGGAAUUAAAGGAAUUCUUCCCCACUUUUCAGACAAAAGGAACUGCUUAUCUUCAGCUCUCUGGGAAACAUGUCCUCAGCUGCGGGAGAACAAGAGGCUGUGAAUUUGAUAGGAAGACGGCUGAUGCUGUAAAGGGGAAGCUAUGGCCCAUGAGUGGACUGCCUCUAAUCCUUGGGCUCAGACUACACAGCGAUGCCUAAGAAGCCCUGGGCUGCUGACAGGAGAAAGAAAUUCUUCAGCUCAAACCCAAGGGACUUUGCUUCUUGAGCAGGAGGAGACAAAUCCCACAUCAGUGCUGCCUGCAAAGAUUGCUCUGGCAAUAUUAUGAGAGAGACUAAGGAAGACUUUUUGAAAGUGUUUCAGAAUACGCACACGUCCAUGUGUAUGUAGGUAGCAUAUAUAUAAUGCGUAUAUGGAAUGUGGGUGCAUAUGUGUGUGCAUGCGUCUAUAAAACAUCAGACUGACAAUGGAAGUUUGUCUCUAAGAAACGUGUUUUUUUUCAGAUGCGGUUUGGUGAUGUAGUAGGCCUGAUUAUCUGCCGAAACUGAAGAGUUAAAAUUGUUGCAUGCUGUGCAAAGGAUUUUUAUAUCAUUAUAUUAAUCUUAAAUUAAUUUUAAUAACUUUAUUAGAUUUACUUAGGUAUCUGCUUUGUUUGCUAGAUUGGAUUAUCCAUUAUAAGGACUAGAUUUCCCUCAAAUGUGGGGAUACGCAUGUUGCUAUAGCUACCCUGGUGCUGGCUAUUUAUUCUGUAAAGCAGGAAAGCAGGAGUUCUGAACAGCCUUCCUGUUCCAGCAUCUGAAACUAUCCGUCCACAGUUUUUGUAUUCACGUGGAUCUUGCAUUUAAGUAAAUCAGAUGGCAGGAGUUUUUGUUUCAUUUGCCUCUAGAGAAAUUGCAAAGACAUUCAUCUGAGGACAUUUGAACUUCAUUUAGGUACAAGAAGGGACAUAAGAUGUUCAAAGAGCACCUUUGAAAUUAAGAAUUCACAAAAGGGACAGUGGUGAGACCCUGGGGAAGCCCUCCUCUGCAAGAAAUGGCUAGAAGAAAAGUAAAGAGGAAAAAAGCAAAAGCUAAAAUGCAGCAGAGGAAAGCUCAGCAGCUGGAGAAUUAUCUAAAAGGGCCAUCUACACUGAAAUCCUGGAGGUGGGGAACACACAGCUUUCUGUGUUUGCUCUCUCUCUGGCAGAAGACAUUACUGGAACUUGAUCCCUGCUAGAAGCAGGGGAGAAAUCUAACCUGAGGUUCAACUUCCCCAUCCAAAUCAUCACUAUAAAGUAUCCCCCGGAGAUGCUCUCUGAAUUCCAAGGGUGCAUUUAACACUGCCUACCUGUCCAGGGUCAUACUCCAGUCUGAGUUCACCUAGAAACUUCUGAUGGUUGUGUUCAGAUGUGAAUCUAGGGGAGAGUGGAGGGGAAUACAGGGGGGUGGGUGAGAGAAGGUAUGAGGAGGACAAAACAUGUUUUGUGACUAUAGUGCAUACAGAAUGGAUGCAAUUUAAACACCUUGGAGAUGACCAUCUAUCCCAUCUGGCCUUUAGGCCACGUGUCUAAGCAAUCCUUUCUUUGUACAUGGCUCUUCAUGUUACUUGACCUAGAAGCAAGCAGAGCAUACAGCUCAGAGUUUCUUAUGCAAUGUGGAUACCAACAGCCUGACCGAGAAGCACUGUGGAGGUGGUGGCACAAAUGCAGAGAGUGAGGUCAGGGGGCACAUCAGACUUUCCCUAUUUUUGCUUGACAAGCCGUGUAGACAUAGCCUAGAAUUAUCACCGUCCUCUGCUCCAUCGACAUCUCUGGUAUUUCCUCCAGGCCCUGCAACUGGCAGCACUGGAUUCUUAUUUUACCUGGCAUCUGUUGUUUCCUUCAGACCAAAUGGUAGCCAGUGUGUCUCAUACACUUUAAUAUCAUAUUAGCAAAGCCUCAAAAUAUGUUCGAACACUGGGAAUGUGGUUUCCUAAGGUUACACGUUGUCUCCUGUUUUAAAGCCCAGUUCAAGCUUUUUGUGGGAAAUAAAUAAAAUAGAGGGAGAAGUUUCUACCCA